Molecule: long non-coding RNA, 874 nt
Filed under: Marmota monax (woodchuck)
Lineage: Eukaryota; Metazoa; Chordata; Mammalia; Rodentia; Sciuridae
Source: RNAcentral
AUCAAACCCAAGGCCUUGCACACACUAGGUGAGUGUGCUACCCCUGAGCCACAACCCCAGCCCCAAGUGAUCUCUUUUCAGGCCUUUUCUAACUUGAUCUCAUUGGAAACUACCUCUUUCUCCUUGAAAUUCUCUUAAUUCAGCUCUCAUGACACUCAUUUUUGUUCUGCAUUUUUGUUGUCCAUCUGUCUCCUUUGAUUACUUCUGUAUGCCUGUCCCAUUUAUUGACAUCUCUCUCUCUCCUUUAUUGUGGCGAUCUAUUUCCAGAUCUCAGGCUUUUGCUAAGCUUCACUCACGCUAGUAUUUCCUACCUGGUCAUUUCACAAACUCUAAAUGUCUAAAAGUUACAAAUGGAACCUCUUGUCCACUCUUUAAAGCCCUAAAUCUGCUCUUCUUCCCAUUUUUAAUUGACAUUAUCAUCUACUCAAAUUUUGUUCAUUUUUUUGUGAAAGAAACUAUCCUUGAUAUUACUGAUUUUUCCCUUUAUCCCUCACAUUUAGUCUGUCCCCUUGUCCUAUUGAUUCUUAUUUCAAAAUGUCUCUAGUUAAUCCCCUCCUUACCAUUUCCACAACAGAGGUCUUUAUUGUUGUCUCUUGCUUGGGUUUUUGCAAGACUGUCUCUCCCAGUUGCUCUGCUUCCCAUCUGUUCCCCUUUCACAGUGCUUCCACUUAUCAAAAGAAAGAAAGUCAAAACGUGUAAUUGAAUUCUUUACUAGAAGAACAAUAAUGCUGUAUCAGAGCACACUCUAAGGAGAAGACAUGCAUCAACUAGCUAGCUAGCAUUUUCGAUACUGGCCGGCAUGGUGGCACAGGCCUGUAAUCCCAGUGACAUGGAGGCUGAGGCACAAGUUCAAGGCUAGUCUGGACAAUUUAGC